UUGAUACCUCUCUUCUUCUUCUUCUUCCACGCAGCUUACACCAAACUCUAACCUGCUAGACUUUCUCAAGCUUGGAUCUUCUCUUUCGUUCGCAAUUAAGUUAAGGCCAUGGAGCAAACUAGCGACAAAAUCGAAACAUCAGGGAGUAAAAUGACUAUUUUUAAAGGAUUGGGGCAAAGUCGUUGAAACGACCAAACCACAGGGAGCAAAACAGAAAUUUACUCAAAUAAUAAUAUUGGGCACGGUUUCUAUUAUUUUCUCAUAGUACACUGGAAAUAGGACUGAUAAAAGAUCUAACCUAAAUAUGUGAAGGGGUCCAAAAUCCAAAUGGUUUUGAGUUUUUGACUGCUUAUGAACUACGCAUGUUGUUUAUGUAAUGAAUUAUACAUUUAGGUGCUGUUUGUUUUUCAGAGAUAAAAUGUCUGCAGUCUACGGACCACAUCUGCAGCUGAAGAGGUGGACCAAACCUCUGCAGUCUUCUAGAAGAAGACUGUUUGUUUUUUAUGUAACAAAGCAAAGAUCUGCUGAAAUUAACCACCUCAUAUGUGAACAAGGAACUAGUUUCAA
Long non-coding RNA from Helianthus annuus (common sunflower), 567 nucleotides. RefSeq lists it as uncharacterized. Lineage: Eukaryota; Viridiplantae; Streptophyta; Magnoliopsida; Asterales; Asteraceae. The transcript has 2 exons. The record is from RefSeq and is a predicted model, not a curated record.